AAAUAAAUAUUUUUAUAAAGUUGUUAUAAAUUAUGGCCUCAAAAUUGUAAUACGUAAAAUUAUAUAUAUAUAUAUAUAUAUAGAGAGAGAGAGAGAGAUAAGUAGCUCGCUACUCGCUUCAAAUAAACUUAGCUGCAAAUAUGAAUCAACUAGGAUUCGAACUUGAGACCUCGGGUACCAACCACCAAACUUUUUGCCAAUUGCUCUAGGGACGAUCAAUUAAAAUAAAAAUAGUUAGUCUUUGUUUUGUAUCAUUUCUCUUUUUUUACGUUUAAUCUCAUACAACUCUCUAUAAACAUAUCAAAUAGCAAAUAUAUCCUUACAACGUUCAACUUUUAUUUUUAUCCAUAUAAAAGUCCAGUGAUAUUCAUAUUUACCCUCUUAAUUUGUUACCCUUAUAGCACUAUUUAUUUUUUAACAGCAGAUAAGUAAAAUGAUAUUUUUGCCCUCACAAAUAUAUCUUCCAAAAGCCCAAAUUAUUAAAAUUAUAUAGAAAUAUUCUCACAAGAAAGUAUCUUGCCCAAUAAUAUAAGAGGAGAAGAAAGGUUAAUUUAACUUAUUCACUAAUCAGGAUUAAGUAUUUUACUUUUGGUUAACUAUAUAUUUCUAACAGAUCCUAACAGUAGAGCUAUUAUUUAAAAGCGUUAAGACUUUUGCAGAGAUAAAAAUAAAAAGUUGAACUUUGUAGGGAUAUAUCUGUUAUUCGAUAUAUUUACAUGGAGUUGUAUACAAUCAACCUUUUUUUAAUAUAAUUUUUUAUAUGAUUAGAUGUUGUUAUUAUGAUUGUUUAACUUGUAAUGUAUGUAAAUUAUGUAUGAAAUGACAACUUUUUAGAGGGUAGAAG
RNAcentral lists this long non-coding RNA (844 nucleotides) under Ananas comosus (pineapple). RNAcentral describes it as "long non-coding RNA (ACOM_LNC028437)". The record is from RNAcentral. Lineage: Eukaryota; Viridiplantae; Streptophyta; Magnoliopsida; Poales; Bromeliaceae.